Molecule: ribosomal RNA, 465 nt
Filed under: uncultured bacterium
Lineage: Bacteria
Description: bacterial SSU rRNA
Rfam family: Bacterial small subunit ribosomal RNA
Source: RNAcentral
CCUACGGGAUGCAGCAGUGGGGAAUAUUGCACAAUGGGCGCAAGCCUGAUGCAGCCAUGCCGCGUGUAUGAAGAAGGCCUUCGGGUUGUAAAGUACUUUCAGCGGGGAGGAAGGGAGUAAAGUUAAUACCUUUGCUCAUUGACGUUACCCGCAGAAGAAGCACCGGCUAACUCCGUGCCAGCAGCCGCGGUAAUACGGAGGGUGCAAGCGUUAAUCGGAAUUACUGGGCGUAAAGCGCACGCAGGCGGUCUGUCAAGUCGGAUGUGAAAUCCCCGGGCUCAACCUGGGAACUGCAUUCGAAACUGGCAGGCUAGAGUCUUGUAGAGGGGGGUAGAAUUCCAGGUGUAGCGGUGAAAUGCGUAGAGAUCUGGAGGAAUACCGGUGGCGAAGGCGGCCCCCUGGACAAAGACUGACGCUCAGGUGCGAAAGCGUGGGGAGCAAACAGGAUUAGAUACCCGCGUAGUC